UACGUAGGGUGCAAGCGUUAAUCGGAAUUACUGGGCGUAAAGCGUGCGCAGGCGGUUCGCCAAGUCAGGUGUGAAAGCCCCGGGCUCAACCUGGGAAUGGCGAUGGAAACUGGCGGGCUGGAGUAUGGCAGAGGGGGGUGGAAUUCCGCGUGUAGCAGUGAAAUGCGUAGAGAUGCGGAGGAACACCGAUGGCGAAGGCAGCCCCCUGGGCCAAUACUGACGCUCAGGCACGAAAGCGUGGGGAGCAAACAGG
This 253-nucleotide ribosomal RNA is filed under the name uncultured bacterium. RNAcentral describes it as "partial 16S ribosomal RNA". It matches the Rfam family "Bacterial small subunit ribosomal RNA", at positions 524 to 776 of the family's 1533-position model. The record is from RNAcentral.